Molecule: ribosomal RNA, 406 nt
Filed under: uncultured bacterium
Lineage: Bacteria
Description: partial 16S ribosomal RNA
Rfam family: Bacterial small subunit ribosomal RNA
Source: RNAcentral
AUUGAACGCUGGCGGCAGGCCUAACACAUGCAAGUCGAACGAGUGGCGGACGGGUGAGUAAUGUCUGGGAAACUGCCUGAUGGAGGGGGAUAACUACUGGAAACGGUUGCUACUACCGCAUACCAUCGGAUGUGCCCAGCGGGGAUUAGCUAGGGGGUGGGGUAACGGCUCACCUAGGCGACGAUCCCUAGCUGGUCUGAGAGGAUGACCAGCAACACUGGAACUGAGACACGGUCCAGACUCCUACGGGAGGCAGCAGUGGGGAAUAUUGCACAAGGGGCGCAAGCCUGAUCCAGCCAUGCCGCGUGUGUGAAGAAGGUCUUCGGAUUGUAAAGCACUUUAAGUUGGGAGGCGUUACCAACAGAAUAAGCACCGGCUAACUUCGUGCCAGCAGCCGCGGUAAUUC